RNAcentral lists this ribosomal RNA (497 nucleotides) under uncultured bacterium. RNAcentral describes it as "partial 16S ribosomal RNA". It matches the Rfam family "Bacterial small subunit ribosomal RNA", at positions 28 to 507 of the family's 1533-position model. The record is from RNAcentral.
GAUGAACGCUGGCGGCGUGCCUAAUACAUGCAAGUCGAGCGAACAGAUGAGGAGCUUGCUCCUCUGACGUUAGCGGCGGACGGGUGAGUAACACGUGGAUAACCUACCUAUAAGACUGGGAUAACUUCGGGAAACCGGAGCUAAUACCGGAUAAUAUAUUGAACCGCAUGGCUCAAUAGUGAAAGACGGUUUUGCUGUCACUUAUAGAUGGAUCCGCGCCGCAUUAGCUAGUUGGUAAGGUAACGGCUUACCAAGGCAACGAUGCGUAGCCGACCUGAGAGGGUGAUCGGCCACACUGGAACUGAGACACGGUCCAGACUCCUACGGGAGGCAGCAGUAGGGAAUCUUCCGCAAUGGGCGAAAGCCUGACGGAGCAACGCCGCGUGAGUGAUGAAGGUCUUCGGAUCGUAAAACUCUGUUAUUAGGGAAGAACAAAUGUGUAAGUAACUAUGCACGUCUUGACGGUACCUAAUCAGAAAGCCACGGCUAACUACGUG